RNAcentral lists this unclassified non-coding RNA (3127 nucleotides) under Harpegnathos saltator (Jerdon's jumping ant). Its description in RNAcentral is "odorant receptor 22c, transcript variant X1". The record is from RNAcentral. Lineage: Eukaryota; Metazoa; Arthropoda; Insecta; Hymenoptera; Formicidae.
GCUGUAAACACGCGUCGAAGGUGCGCGAAUCAUGCAAACGGAAUUCACCCGAGCGUUCAAGAUAAUAUCGUGGAACAGACGGUUCUUAAUCAUUCUCGGAAUAUGGCCUACUAAAGUGAAUCGGGUGGCGUUCGUAUUCUUCCUCGUCUACGUGGCGAUCCAUUGCACCAUGGGAGGGGCUCACUUGGUCAAAUAUUUCAGCAAGCCGGAAUACAUCGUCGCCAAUCUGACGGAGAACGUUCUAUUCACGAUGAUAAUAGGCAAGAUGCUCAUAUGCGAGCGCAGCCGCAGGAUAAUGGUCUACUUUUUAAACACCAUCCAGCCCGACUUUUCGGCCAAGAGUUACAGCAACGCGCGGGAGAAGGCGUUGUAUUUGCAUUACAACGAGUUCGCACUUAUAUUCAUCAAAGUGUCGCUAGGCUUGGCCACGUUAACGACUAUAUUGUAUUAUAUAAUGGGGUUUCUCGAAAACUGGACAGUAUCGACUCGUAACGCUUCGUACGAAUUACCAUACCGGACGUAUCCUUUCUUCGAAAUCCAGGAUAGUACCACCUACUUCUGCCUUUGCGCUUAUCAAAUAAUUGCCUUGCCGACGAUAGUGUGCGGCUAUUCGGCACCGGAUUCCUUCGUACUCAGCAUGGCCCUCCACAUCUGCGGCCAACUCGCCGUUCUGUCGUGUAAAAUCGAACAAUUGUUGAAAGAUCACGAGAAUUAUAAUCAUCAUAUCGGUACCAUUGUAUUGAGGCAUCGUCAGCUAAUCAAAUUAGCAGAGAUCUUGGAAAACAAUUUCAGUAUGAUAUUUCUUCAGCAAACUCUAGGCACCGUUUUCUUGCUCUGUUUGACUACGUAUCAUAUGUUCGCGAAUUCGGUGAAUGGCGCCAGCACUAACGUCGUGACUUUCUUGUUGUACACAAGCUGCGUGAUCAGCACGAUUUUCGCGUACUGUUACAUCGGAGAAUGCCUCAUUAAGGAGAGCGUCAGAUUGCGCGACACUUUUUACAACACCGAUUGGUACAAUAUUUCGCCGUCGUGCGGGAAGAUUCUCAGUAUUUGUAUGAUCCGACCCGAAAAGCCGCUGGUGUUGACCGCCGGUAAAUUCUACCCGUUAUCACUGAACACAUUCACAAGUAUAGUGAAAACUUCGAUGGCGUACUUGUCCAUAUUGCGCAACUUCCUGUGAGAAGUCUUCGAAAAAAGUCUUCGCAUGAGAAGAUUCGAAAUAUUUUUCGAAAUAUGAAUUACGGAGAAUACGCGAAAAUUUAUCUACAAGACGAGAUAUAGGCAUAAGCAAAACUAGAUUUUUAAUUGUAUUUGAUGACCCCAUAAUUUUGAUGAAUUCAUGAACUUACCAGCGUCAAAUAAAUACCUUGCCUUAUAUCAAUAAUAAUCUUCGAUACAAAUCUCUCCGUUAAGCUGCUCGUACACAAUGAAAGAUAACGAAAGAUAAUUUUUAUAAAUAAAAUUGGUGUAAAUAUUAUCGUUUUGCUACAGCUUGCUUCUCUCACAUGUCGAUGACAUGUGAUGUUAGUCGAUGUGAUAUUUCCAAUACUUUUUUCGACACUAACAAGUGAAAAAGGUUAUUGAUAUAUUUCUGAUAAUAAUAGCUUGGAGAAACAAUGAGAUUUUAACGUGUGUCUACUUGCCGAUUUUUGCCGAUCUUCAACUUCUAGUUUCUCGUUAGUUUCUAGUAAAUUUCAUACCGGCAAAUUUCAAGCUCAAUACCGAUGUGUGACUCAGCGAGUGACUUUGAUAUAAAAUAUCAAAGAUAAAAUACAAUAUGUCAACGUAGUUUCAAUAAGAAUAUCCGCGAUAUGUCCACGUCGACAGCCAUGACUAUGGUUGAGACUUCGCGAAGCAUUGGACAAGUUCGUCGACUACCCGAUGUUAAAAAUAGCUGCGCGAUAGUUCCUCCACAAAAUGCUAUAAGCGCGUUUGCUUUUCGUCAUAAACGCGAGACGGUAAGAUAAUCGAUGCGCUAGGUAAAAUGACGUUUAAUAAUGGCUUAAUGCCUUAAUAUCGGUUUGGAUGAAUAUAACAGAUGUCUGUGUAUACAUUACGACCGUCGGACAUUUAAUCGUGCGCAAACCAACAACGGAAAUCAGGCAAGUACGAGCGCGUCGCAAACGCUCGGUCCUCAAAUCUUAAGUUUAAUAAUAUUAAGCCCCAAUCACAUCAUCGAGUCGCAGUUGCGGAUAAUCGGUGAAUGAAGAAGCACAACUUCGGCGAUCGGUUGCGAGGGUGAGAGCACGGCUAUUUUUCGUGAAUCGCGAAUAUUCCUUGUUGGAACUUGUUGCACCCUUCUCAUCUUUUCGUGUUUGCCAAUCGAUCGCCAUUUUGAUGGCGAGUGCAAAAUGUAAAAAUUAGCCAAAAAAAAUUUCUCUAUCUUCCUGCGAUACUUACACGCGGAUAUUUUCGGCUACUUCGACCUCAUAGGUAACUUUUGACUAUCUUCACAAGUUUUCUUCACGUUGGAUAUACCAUCGUGUGUGUCAUUUCAGUUAUCAGGACAUCACACAUGGGGAAAUAAAGCAACUGAAGAAUCUUUCUCUCUCUUUCUCUCUCUCUCUCUCUCUCUCUCUCUUUCUUUCUCUCUCUCUCUCUCUCCUCUUUCUCUCUCGACGUAGUAGAUCCAAAUCUCGUCGUUGCCGUAAAGGGAAAUGUAUCGUUCGAAAAGAUCCACGAUAUGCGCGAAGACCAAGUCUGGCAAGGACUAUACUACUGAUGUCGGCCAUAUCGAAGAUUUGUUCGUUCACUUAGAACGGAUCUUCUCCAUCGGGGGGAUAUGGCCGUUCGAGCGUACGUACGUUCGUUUUGCGAUUUACAUCUUGUAUUUUAUGCUGUACCUCGUCAUGGCGUACGCGAAUUUCUGCGAGGUCUUCGGUGAUCUUGAGCUGAUGGUGAUGAAUCUCGUAGAGACGAUGGCCUACACCACCACUUUCACAAUGGUGUGUAUGAUCCGUUGCAGCGGCUUGCUGAAGCGCAUCAUCGUCGUGAUGAGGCAGGACAUGAUGGAGCAGAAGUUCGAGGAUCCCGAGGAAGAGAGGAUUUACUACAGUUACAAUUACACGUCUAAGAUAUUUCUCUAUGGCUCGAUCGUCGGCAUGUUCGUCACGGUGAUGUUGUUAUA